CACAGCGAAAGCCACCCAGAUACGGCCAACGGGGUGGGGGAGAGGGAGCACGGCGUCGGUCUUUUAUCGCUGCCAGAACCCCUCCUCGACUCCUCGACUCCUCGACUCGGAGAUCAUUUUUCCGUUUUCUUUGCUUCUUCUGCUCUUCUUCUUCUGCUUCUUUUCUUGCUGGCUGGCUUUCGCUUCUCUGCUCUUGUCUCUCAGGCCAUCUGUCUCCCCAUCUGUUCGUAUCUCUCCGUGCAGCCCCCUUUUGGCUAAGCCCCCCAGCAGAUUUUAUCUCCACCCGCCGCCGUUCUCGGGGCUUGGGAUAAGAAUAGGCCUCCACCGCAGCGCACCGUUUACGCUGUUCCAGGAUUCGACUGCUCUGCUCUGAGUGCUCGACGUUGACGUUGACGUCGUCGCGGCCUUCCCACAGAAAUCACCACAGAAAUCACCAUAGGAAGGGAAUAAAUUCGAAUCUCCUCCACGCUCUCCAGCACCACGUCGAAAUCCGACUUUUUU
Molecule: small RNA, 501 nt
Filed under: Histoplasma capsulatum var. duboisii H88
Lineage: Eukaryota; Fungi; Ascomycota; Eurotiomycetes; Onygenales; Ajellomycetaceae
Description: Histoplasma capsulatum H88 hypothetical RNA
Source: RNAcentral